Molecule: ribosomal RNA, 467 nt
Filed under: Cellulosimicrobium funkei
Lineage: Bacteria; Bacillati; Actinomycetota; Actinomycetes; Micrococcales; Promicromonosporaceae
Description: bacterial SSU rRNA
Rfam family: Bacterial small subunit ribosomal RNA
Source: RNAcentral
CUGAUGCAGCGACGCCGCGUGAGGGAUGAAGGCCUUCGGGUUGUAAACCUCUUUCAGCAGGGAAGAAGCGUAAGUGACGGUACCUGCAGAAGAAGCGCCGGCUAACUACGUGCCAGCAGCCGCGGUAAUACGUAGGGCGCAAGCGUUGUCCGGAAUUAUUGGGCGUAAAGAGCUCGUAGGCGGUCUGUCGCGUCUGGUGUGAAAACCCAUGGCUCAACCAUGGGCUUGCAUCGGGUACGGGCAGACUAGAGUGCGGUAGGGGAGACUGGAAUUCCUGGUGUAGCGGUGGAAUGCGCAGAUAUCAGGAGGAACACCGAUGGCGAAGGCAGGUCUCUGGGCCGCAACUGACGCUGAGGAGCGAAAGCAUGGGGAGCGAACAGGAUUAGAUACCCUGGUAGUCCAUGCCGUAAACGUUGGGCACUAGGUGUGGGGCUCAUUCCACGAGUUCCGUGCCGCAGCAAACGCAU